CGCCAAUGUUGAUCUAGACUCGCAAAGGAAGGGAAAGUGUGUCGUUCUGAAGACUUCUACGCGUCAGACCAUCUUUCUACCUGUUGUUGGGCUUGUUGACCCUAAUAUAUUAAAACCUGGAGAUUUGGUUGGUGUCAACAAAGAUAGUUACCUUAUAUUGGACACUCUUCCAUCUGAAUAUGAUUCACGCGUUAAGGCUAUGGAGGUCGAUGAAAAACCAACGGAAGAUUACAAUGAUGUUGGUGGCCUGGAAAAACAGAUUCAAGAGCUUGUGGAAGCUAUCGUGUUGCCAAUGACUCACAAAGAGAGGUUUCAGAAAUUGGGAGUCCGUCCACCAAAAGGAGUGCUCUUAUAUGGUCCCCCUGGAACUGGGAAGACACUAAUGGCCCGUGCAUGUGCUGCACAAACUAAUGCAACUUUCCUGAAGCUUGCAGGUCCCCAGCUUGUCCAGAUGUUCAUUGGUGAUGGAGCAAAACUAGUCCGCGAUGCCUUUCAGCUUGCAAGGGAAAAAUCUCCCUGCAUUAUAUUUAUCGACGAGAUUGAUGCUAUUGGGACCAAAAGAUUUGAUAGUGAAGUAAGUGGGGAUAGGGAAGUACAGCGCACAAUGCUUGAGUUGCUUAAUCAGCUUGACGGCUUCAGCAGUGAUGACCAAAUAAAGGUGAUUGCAGCAACUAAUCGUGCAGACAUCUUGGAUCCCGCCCUCAUGCGAUCAGGUAGAUUGGAUCGGAAGAUUGAGUUUCCUCACCCAUCCGAAGAAGCGAGGACCCGCAUUUUGCAGAUACACUCGAGAAAAAUGAACGUUAAUCCUGAUGUCAACUUUGAAGAACUUGCUCGGUCUACUGAUGACUUUAAUGGGGCUCAACUGAAGGCGGUUUGUGUCGAAGCUGGCAUGCUUGCAUUGCGGCGGGAUGCUACCGAGGUGAUGCAUGAGGAUUUUAAUGAGGGGAUAAUUCAGGUGCAGGCCAAGAAGAAAGCCAGCUUGAACUAUUAUGCUUAGGCAAUCGGCAUUUGUAGAAGGGACGGAUUUGUUUGUUGGUGAAUGCGAAAGGUUCAAUUUCAUAUUUAUUUUGUAUUUGUCUAACAUACCGUCCAGAUUGUUGC
RNAcentral lists this unclassified non-coding RNA (1101 nucleotides) under Hevea brasiliensis (rubber tree). The record is from RNAcentral. Lineage: Eukaryota; Viridiplantae; Streptophyta; Magnoliopsida; Malpighiales; Euphorbiaceae.